AUGGGGUGUCUUCAGACACUGUAAUUCUAGGAGCAAGGAGCUAUGUGGUCAACUUUGGAGAAUCAAGACCAGACCCCAGUGUUGUUUCCCUGAGCUCAUCCAUCUCAUUCCUGUAUCCCUUUAUUUGUAUGCUCCAUAUUUGUCUCUCUCCUAGACUAUCAGCUCCAUAAAAUGAAGAGCCAGGUCUGCCUUGUAGAUCCCUCUUUCCUCAAGGCCGGGCAUGAUGUCCUGUGGGUAAGCAGCCCUGGGUGGCUAACCUCAUUGGACCACAUCCCCAGGCUCCCUCGCCUUCCAGUCUCCCACUGUGGUUGGCCAAUGGGAAGAGCUCUCAGGCAACUGGAAAUCGGGAGGACAGAGAGGUGAGUUUUUAUUUCUCUCACGUCCCACCUGCUGGGCAGUCCUUUUGGCAGCAGCUGUCCCCUUCUGUGGUCCCCUAUCCAGGGC
RNAcentral lists this long non-coding RNA (444 nucleotides) under Mustela putorius furo (domestic ferret). Its description in RNAcentral is "lncRNA (ENSMPUG00000024311.1)". Lineage: Eukaryota; Metazoa; Chordata; Mammalia; Carnivora; Mustelidae. The record is from RNAcentral.